RNAcentral lists this ribosomal RNA (332 nucleotides) under uncultured bacterium. RNAcentral describes it as "bacterial SSU rRNA". It matches the Rfam family "Bacterial small subunit ribosomal RNA", at positions 568 to 898 of the family's 1533-position model. The record is from RNAcentral.
CGCGUAGGCGGUGUCUUAAGUGGGAUGUGCAAUCCCCGGGCUUAACCUGGGAACUGCAUCCCAGACUGGGACGCUGGAGUACUGGAGAGGGUGGUAGAAUUCCACGUGUAGCGGUGAAAUGCGUAGAGAUGUGGAGGAAUACCAGUGGCGAAGGCGGCCACCUGGACAGUAACUGACGCUGAGGCGCGAAAGUGUGGGUAGCAAACAGGAUUAGAUACCCUGGUAGUCCACGCUGUAAACGAUGAACACUUGGUGUGGUGGGAGUUGACCCCUGCCGUGCCGUAGCUAACGCGAUAAGUGUUCCGCCUGGGGAGUACGGUCGCAAGGCUGAA